Molecule: ribosomal RNA, 536 nt
Filed under: Entamoeba coli
Lineage: Eukaryota; Evosea; Mastigamoebida; Endamoebidae
Description: SSU rRNA
Rfam family: Eukaryotic small subunit ribosomal RNA
Source: RNAcentral
AGGCGCGAAAAUUACCCAAUCUUAACAAAUGAAGGAGGUAGUGACGACAAUUAACGCUAUCUCUCGUCUUUUGGCGAGGAUCGUCGGAAUGAUUUCGAUUUAAAAUAUCGAAAGAAAGCAAUUGGAGGGCAAGUCUGGUGCCAGCAGCCGCGGUAAUUCCAGCUCCAAUAGUGUAUUGUAAAGUUGUUGUGAUUAAAACGCUCGUAGUUGAAUGAAAACAAUCGAGACGUGAUUUACGUUCUCUCGGUCAUACGAUGGAUUCGUCCAUCCGGCCGAGUUGAACUGCAAUCGCAUAACGUCUCAUAAUAAGCGGGAGUUUGUUUACUCAAACUCUUUUACUUUGAUUAAAUCAAGGUGCUUAAAGCAAAAUCUUCUGUUAAUGAAUGAUGAAGCAUGGUAUAGAAUUAAAACAGAACAGAAAGAAAAACGAAUAAAUGGAGAUGGGCAACCAUUCGAAAUUUAUUUAUUUUUGUUUUGUUUAAAACAAGGUUAAGAGAAAUGAUUAGGGUGAUUUAGAUAGGAACGGGAGAGGUGGA